CUUAAUGCGUGUUGGUGAGAUUUUUAUGGUAAUUAUGUCAAAUUAUUCCAACAUAUGAGGAUCAAACUAUUGCUGGUACCGGCCCUCCUAGUUUGUAGAGCAGAUAGAUGGGUUAAUUUGAUUCAUAUCAUUGAUAUUUUAGCAUUUUGGAGAUCUACCAUUACUACUCGAUUAUUUAUAACUCAUGACACUAUAAUUUUACAACUACACCAAAUAUUACUUAAAAUUAUGGACCAGAUUGCCCCUAUCUUCAUCCUCAGCCACCUCCUUGCA
RNAcentral lists this long non-coding RNA (273 nucleotides) under Setaria viridis. RNAcentral's name for it is "long non-coding RNA (SVIR_LNC007614)". The record is from RNAcentral. Lineage: Eukaryota; Viridiplantae; Streptophyta; Magnoliopsida; Poales; Poaceae.